AUGGAGUUCCAGCCCUCCUUCCUGAUGCUCCCAACCCACUCCAGCCCCUGCCCGGGUUUCUGGUGGACCCAGAACAUGGUGAUGGCGCCGACAUCGAACCUGGACCCUUGGCACAGCAACACCCUGCUGGAGCGCGGGGGGGACCUCCAGCCCCCCGGGGGGUCCCUGCGCCUCCUCUGCCGAGGGUCCGGGUUCAGUUUCGGCAAUUUUGCCAUGAACUGGGUGCGCCAGAGCCCCGGGCAGGGGCUGGAAUUCGUGGCGUACAUAAACAUUGGUGGAGCCACUUACUACGCGCCAUCCGUCAAGGGCCGGUUCACGAUCUCCCAGGACAACGGGCAGAGCUCGGUGACGCUGACCAUGAACAACCUCAAGGACGAGGAUUCCGGAUCCUAUUUCUGUGCCAAGGCUUCUGCUGAUGGUUGGGCUGCUGCUGCUUACAUUGACCCUGCCGGUGGUGGCAGCGCCCUUGCCUGA
This is a non-coding RNA of Melozone crissalis (California towhee), 474 nucleotides long. The record is from the annotation of a RefSeq genome assembly. NCBI's taxonomy places the organism in Eukaryota, Metazoa, Chordata, Aves, Passeriformes, Passerellidae.